CAUCCAACGCGUUGGGAGCUCUCCCAUAUGGUCGACCUGCAGGCGGCCGCGAAUUCACUAGUGAUUAGAGUUUGAUCAUGGCUCAGAUUGAACGCUGGCGGCAUGCCUUACACAUGCAAGUCGAACGGUAACGCGGGGCAACCUGGCGACGAGUGGCGAACGGGUGAGUAAUGUAUCGGAACGUGCCCAGUAGUGGGGGAUAGCCCGGCGAAAGCCGGAUUAAUACCGCAUACGACCUACGGGUGAAAGCGGGGGAUCGCAAGACCUCGCGCCAUUGGAGCGGCCGAUAUCAGAUUAGGUAGUUGGUGGGGUAAAAGCCUACCAAGCCGACGAUCUGUAGCUGGUCUGAGAGGACGACCAGCCACACUGGGACUGAGACACGGCCCAGACUCCUACGGGAGGCAGCAGUGGGGAAUUUUGGACAAUGGGCGCAAGCCUGAUCCAGCCAUGCCGCGUGCGGGAAGAAGGCCUUCGGGUUGUAAACCGCUUUUGUCAGGGAAGAAAAGCUCUGGGCUAAUACCUCGGGGUCAUGACGGUACCUGAAGAAUAAGCACCGGCUAACUACGUGCCAGCAGCCGCGGUAAUAAUCGAAUUCCCGCGGCCGCCAUGGCGGCCGGGAGCAUGCGACGUCGGGCCCA
This 638-nucleotide ribosomal RNA is filed under the name uncultured beta proteobacterium. RNAcentral describes it as "bacterial SSU rRNA". It matches the Rfam family "Bacterial small subunit ribosomal RNA", at positions 1 to 583 of the family's 1533-position model. Lineage: Bacteria; Pseudomonadati; Pseudomonadota; Betaproteobacteria. The record is from RNAcentral.